This is a long non-coding RNA of Mustela erminea (ermine), 802 nucleotides long. RefSeq lists it as uncharacterized. The record is from RefSeq and is a predicted model, not a curated record. The transcript is spliced from 4 exons. NCBI's taxonomy places the organism in Eukaryota, Metazoa, Chordata, Mammalia, Carnivora, Mustelidae.
GGGAGAGGGAGAGGGAAACAUAAGUAGAUUCUGUGAUCACGACCAGAGCUGAUACCAGGAGUUGACGCUUUAACCUACUGCACCAUCCAGGCACUCUAGGGAGAUAUCUUAGAAGUAAUAGCCACCCACCUCCCCACAAACAGCUCCAGUAUGUUGUCUAGUUGUAUAUAUUUCCUCAUAAAUUUAAGUAUGGGGUUAGAUGCAAGACAUGAGGUCUCUCAGAUUUUGUAGUUGGUGACAUUGAAGCCUUAAGGUAUUCUUCAUGACCCAGUCUCUGAGUUGGAGAACAUACACAUUUUUACAAGGAAUCCAGAGGAAGAAGUUUGAACUUACUUUAUAUGUCAUGGGAAAUGCCUUGGUCAAAUCCAUGUCUCCGAAGGUGAUGUUUGUGGCUUUCCAGAGGAGGGACUGAAGAGAAGAGGCUGGCAGAGGAAAAACAAGUCACAUGAAUUAAUUAGCAAGCAACGAGAGCCUCCACCGAGGCACUGCUAACAGAGAACAAGUAAAAUGAGCUGACUCAUUAAGGACAUUCUGACAUGCAAUUCUGGCUAACAACACUGCUACUCCUUAUCUCAUCCCUGUCAGGUUAGCUAAUUUUGCAAAAUUGAUCUUUUCAUUCUACUGCCUCCAGAUAUAGAAAAUUAGAUUAUUAUUGCACUGAACUAUUGAACAUACCUUAAUAUUUAGCAGUGAAAUUAUGAUACUUAAGAUCUAAUCUUGCUAUGUCUGCGGAAUGCUAUUUCGGCAUCUAAGUUCCUUUACACAUAAACUGAUGAUAAUGAAGAUAAUACUCACUUGUUUA